RNAcentral lists this unclassified non-coding RNA (403 nucleotides) under Phytophthora cactorum. RNAcentral describes it as "partial ITS2". Lineage: Eukaryota; Oomycota; Peronosporomycetes; Peronosporales; Peronosporaceae. The record is from RNAcentral.
CAGUGUCCGUACAUCAAACUUGGCUCUCUUCCUUCCGUGUAGUCGGUGGAUGGGGACGCCAGACGUGAGGUGUCUUGCGGGUGGUCUUCGGGCUGGCUGCGAGUCCCUUGAAAUGUACUGAACUGUACUUCUCUUUGCUCGAAAAGCGUGACGUUGUUGGUUGUGGAGGCUGCCUGUGUGGCCAGUCGGCGACCGGUUUGUCUGCUGCGGCGUUUAAUGGAGGAGUGUUCGAUUCGCGGUAUGGUUGGCUUCGGCUGAACAAUGCGCUUAUUGGACGUUCUUCCUGCUGUGGCGGUACGGAUCGGUGAACCGUAGCUGUGCGAGGCUUGGCCUUUGAACCGGCGGUGUUGGUCGCGAAGUAGGGUGGCGGCUUCGGCUGUCGAGGGGUCGAUCCAUUUGGGAA